CAAACUUUUGCACUGGGGAAGCACUGUGUGAGUACAGUGGAAAAAAGCAAAGAUCUCGAAGAGCCCAUUUGAAAUCACUCAUGAAAAGUUUGGUCAAAUAAAUCUAAUUUCUUUUUUCUUUGCAGUUUUGUGUAUUAUUAAAGAAGCCAAAUACUAUAGACAGGAUAUAUCUUGAUGGAGUAAAUGAUUAGAAGAAGAAUCUAAUGGUAUAUGUUUAGACCUGAGGGAGAAAUAUGAACUUUGUGGAAUUCACAGCUGAUAACCUUUGCAAAAAGUGAUGAAUGACAGAUUAUCACAACCUAAAGGACAACAUAACAUCAUGAGGUUAUGGAGAAAUACUAAAGUUUAUAAAUGGCAGAACAUUUCUUAAAAAAUAAAAUUAAUGCAACAGUAGGCUAUAAACCCCAAAUAAUAUUUGCUCCAACCACAUACUUCAUUGUACUCUAUGUGAGAACAUUAUUUGGAACCCUAAAUUUGGUUGUAGCAUAACUCACAUGUUACAGGGGACUUGGCAAACAAGGAUAUGUUCAGAAAAAGCAUCAAGGUACUGAUAUUUUUUGAAACUACACAAUGUAAAAGCAUUGGUUAAAAGAAUGGACUGUGUUUUGACCUAAAAAUGUAAGUCUCAUUUGGGACACACUGGUAGCUUCUAAUAUCUGAACAUCAGUUAAUUGUAAAAAGGAUUAGGUUUAAGCUAUCACUCCCCGAGUAGAACUAGGACCAAUGUUUGUGAGGAAUGGAAGACAAUCUCUAACAAACAGGAAUAAACUGUUUCUAAAAGAAACAGAAAAGCACUAAAAAUAUUAAGGAUGUACAGUAGAAGGAAAAUUGACUAGUCCCAACUCCUGAUAUCACUGUUCUUUUAACUUUAGGACUUUUAACUUUUAACUUUAGUUUUAACUUUUAACUUUAGUUCCUUAGCUUCUCUGAGUUUCUGUUUCCUCUAUAGGUUAGAUAUCACUGCAUUGAAUACAGGAGUGAAAACACCACAGUUGAAAAUGCCAAGGUCCUGUUAGUUUAGAUGCUUUCUCAAAUUCGUCACCCUUCUCCAUUAGUGCUUCUUCAGUCCCAGAUGGAAUGGAACAUUCUGAAAAAAGUUCAGAGAACGGUAGAUAUUAUUAAAUGGUGAUUGGUUUUCCAUUUCAACGCAUGAAGCAAGAAGUUGCAAUUACUUAGCCUGAAUUGAAUACAUUGAUGGGUGAGUGAGUAGUGGCUUUCAAAUAUGUGGAAAAAAAUGAUGCAACUUUUUUCAUGUGUCUUCUGACAUUAUAACAACCAUCAGAACAACAAGGAUUUCUAUGGGUUAUAAAGAAUUCUGUGAUAGGGAUAGGUAAAUGGAACAACUAGAAAUAAUCUAUCCAGAAGACUGUCGACUUCCCUUAGUUGAGUUUGAACUCCUUUUCAAAUAAAAAAAAAUCAGUUACGAGAAAGGUAUUUUAAACCACUGGAUUUAAAAAUUAAUUUCUUAUAUUUAUUAAUACUUGAGGGAAUCACAUAAAGCCCUAAAGAUUUUCCUUUAGCUUUAUGUAUAUAUGGAGACAGAUUUUCCUGUUUCGUAAAGCGUAUACUCUGAAAAGAGAAUUAGAGCAUGAAAUCUUUCAAACCCUUAAUGACCACCAAACACUAGGGAGACAAUGGAAAUCUCAGCACAGAUCCAUAAUCAUAGCUUUCGAAUCAUGGAGCUCUCUCUAUCUCUGAUAACUCAGAAUUUUACAUUCAAGAAGACAAGUUUCUGAAUUCUGGGGCACAUAGUUUAUGUAGAUGUAAAUGCGGAUUUUGUUUUAGAACACAGAAUACCUUCUACCAUAAAACUGACUUCAGGAGAAACACAUCAUUCUCAAGUUGUAGGUGAAUUUAAAGAUUUUAAAUCUACCUUUCCUAACAGAACAUAGAUAUUAAAAAUAAGCAAGUUUUAGUGGAUAAAAUCAGGAGAGACAAUGAAAAUUAUACCAAAUGCAAAACUAUUAAUCCACUUGUAAAGAAUACUUGAAGCUCUAGCUCCCAAAACCCAAUUGUAAAGGUGACAAUAAAUUUGUUAAAUUAGGAUGUAAAUUAAGCAUAAUUUAAGUCCUCCAAAACUGAAUUAUAUUCUGCAGAACUGUGAGCAAAUGCUACUAUAAUUUUAGUAUUCACUCAGUAUG
Molecule: long non-coding RNA, 2141 nt
Organism: Chlorocebus sabaeus (green monkey)
Lineage: Eukaryota; Metazoa; Chordata; Mammalia; Primates; Cercopithecidae
Source: RefSeq, a predicted model, not a curated record